UUUCGGAUCCCGAUUCCCAGAUCGCCCCUUCGGGUCCCGGAUGCGAGUCUUGCGGGCUCCCGGCGUCGCGAGUUCGAAUCUGCCGGCUGCCGCGCUCCGGUUCCGCGUGCUCCUUCCAGACGCAGCCGCAGCCCCGGUCCCCGGGGGGCUCCUGAGUCCGGCCGUCUCCCUCCCCAGCCCUCCCCGGACCCGCUUCCAGUGUCCUCCGCGCCUCGGAAGCGGGCGGGUGGGGAUGGAGACUCUGGGGACCCCCGCCCCUAAUUCCGGCCAGGGGCCCCGGACUGGGGGGCGCAGAGCCGCCGGGCCGAAGGCUCUGGAAGCGGGGGCGCGGCCGAGAGGCGCAGUGACCGGACCGGCGUCCCCACCCGCCUCUAAACUUAGCCGCGGUGACGCGCGGCCCGGCGAUCGCGGCUGGGCCGGGGACUCAGGGGGGCCCGAGCGGAGGGGGGCGGCUCCGCUCGGCGAGCCUCUAUUUAUAGCGCCCGGAGCCCGAAAUAGCGCGGAGCCGAGCGGCCGGGAUGACGCGGGAGCCGCCGGGGGCUGACUCACCCGGCCCCGAGCGGCGGCCCCCGGAUGAGGGGCAGUGGAAGCGCCUGGCCCGGACCCCACGCCCUCCAGGGCAACUCUUCUGCUGGGACAUCCCGAGUGUCCAGAGGUCACUGUGGAUGGAUGUGCAGCAAAAGGGAGGAUCUGCAGCACGCGGGACUGAGACAGUGCAGCCUGCGCAACACAAGAGACGCAGCACAUACACAGUGGAGCAAGGAUGGAAGCAGGAGGCCCAGCAAGGAAGAGACUGCAGCUGUCCUGGGAAGAUCAGAUCAGCCUGGACUGGGGUGCUGGGGAGUCAAGAAGGCAGCUUGGGUCUGCGGGACUGGCAGUAACAUGAACCAGAAGAGCAGAAUGAGAAGAAGGCUGAGAAUUCUGAGGCUGGGAGAAAGCUUUGAGACAGCCCAGUGGGAACGUCCAGGAGACAGAGGGAGCGCCGGGCUCAAGACUGAAAUCUGAGAACCAUCAGUGCAUGUGUAGACGAGAGGGAAAAACUAAAGUACAGAGAGGUUCGUCUCUUGCCUAAGGCCACACAGCAAAGAAGCAACCAAACCAGGACUCCAACUGAAGCUUAUGUUCUCCACCACUGGGGCCGGCCCGGUGGCGCAGCGGUUAAGUUUGCACAUUCCUCUUCCUGGCGGCCCAGGGUUCACUGGUUCGGAUCCUGGGUGCAGACAUGGCACUGCUUGGCACGCCAUGCUGUGGUAGGCGUCCCACGUAUAAAGUAGAGGAAGAUGGGCACAGAUCUUAGCUCAGGGCCAGUCUUCCUCAGCAAAAAGAGGAGGAUUGGCAGUAGUUAGCUCAGGGCUAAUCUUCCUCAAAAAAAAAAAAAAGAAAAUUCUGUAUGUUUACAAGAGGCAAAAUACUCUGCAAGUUUCCACAGAGACCCCUUGAGCUGGGGGCCUGAGGUCUAGUUCCGGCCCUGCCCUCUUUCCCAGCCUCAGUUUCCUCCUGUGAGGGAGGGCUGGAGGAGAUGGUAUCUGAAAGCCAUAGAAACUCUGCCUUCAGGGUGGAGGAGGCAGGCCCCCAAACAGAUUGUAUUCAUUUCCUGUGCUGCUGUAACAAAUUACUACCAACUUGGUAGCUUAAAACAAAAGAAAUUUAUUCUCUGGAGGCUGGAAGUCCUAAAUCAAAGUGUCAGCGGAGCCACCCUCCCUCCAAAGGUUCUGGGGAGGAUCCUGCUCUUCUCCUCCAGCCUCUGGCGGCCUCAGGCGCCCUUAGCUUGUGGCUGCCUCACGCUGUCUCUGCCUCCAUCUUCACGUGGCGUCUCUUCUGAUCUGUGUCUUGUCACCCUCUGCCUUUCUCAUCUAAGGAUGCUUGCUGUCAGGUUCAGGGCCUGUCCCGAUAAUCCAGGAGGAGCUCAUCUGAGAUCCUCACCUGAAUAGAAUCCGCAAAGACCCUUUUUUCAAAGAAGCUCCCGUGCACAGGUCUCAGGUGGACCCAUCUGGGACGGGGCGGGGGGGGGGGGGGGGGGGGGGGCGGCGCACGCCAUUCAAGUCACUGCACAGAUCAGAACAGAAAAGUGAGGACCGGAGAACAGGCAGCAGUGUUGACACCGGGAGGCGGCCAAAGCUUUGGGAUGGCGCAGGCCCGUUCCAGCAGGGACGGCGGGCACGCUCGCCCUGGGGGACCCGGAGUGGCCCGUGCAUCCCACACGUGUGUGACAAGUUGUGUGCGCCCCCACGGCCUGGGCAUCCUCCACUUUGAGGAUGGGACGUUUUGCAAGGAGUGUUCAUUCUUCAACUUUUCAUGUGGACCCGAGAGAUUUUCUCUUUCCUGAAUCUCCAAUCAGUAAUAAAAGUCAGCCCUCAUACUGCCUUUAAUAGGUGCCAGGCCCUGUUCUCAGUGUUCCGUGCUUAUUCCUUCGUUUAAUCUUCACAACAUCCCUCUGAGGCCUUGUGGGUGGUUCCCCCUUUCAAGUUGGAGCUGCAACUUGCAAGUUCCAGAACUAGUAUCUGAACCCCGCAGUCUGGCUGCAGACUCCAGGGUCUUGACCGUAGCCACGCUGUCUCCUGGAGGCACACUGUCACCUGUUAAAUCUGGACUUUGAGGAAGCCACCCUCCAGAUCUCCGAUGGCGCCAUCAUCCAUUUCUGCACGGUCGGAUGUGGCAGCCACUUGUCCGCGUGUGGAUCUUGAGAGCUUAAAAUGUGGCUGGUCCAAAAUGAGAUGUGCCCUGAGGGUAACAUUCACACUGGAUGUCGAAGACGAGACGUAGUGUGAUAAAAAGAACGUAAGAUAUCUCGUUAAUAAUUGCCAAUAUUGAGUACACGUUGAGACAAUAUUUUGCAUAUAUCUGGUUAAAUAAAACACAUGAACAAAA
Equus asinus (donkey) is the source of this 2868-nucleotide long non-coding RNA. NCBI's taxonomy places the organism in Eukaryota, Metazoa, Chordata, Mammalia, Perissodactyla, Equidae. The record is from Ensembl.